AAAAGUAUUUUAGCUUUAAAGGUUAUUAUAAAGUUUUAUUUUGUAUGUAAAUUUUAGUGUGAGUAAGUUAUUUGUAUCUUAGAUAGAUAUAAGUAUAGGUAGAAACACAACAAGGAGAAUUUAAAUAUUUAGUAAUUUAAGAAACAGUAAAUAUUUUUAGUAUAUGCUAAUUUUGUGCCAGCUGCUGCGGUUAAACCUAAUAUGCAAUAGUAACCUGUUAGCACUAGUCAAUAUGAUGUUUUGGAUAUAAUAGUUAUUUUAUUAAGUGAAAUUUUUAAAAUCGUGUGAAAUCUGAAUGUAUAAUAUAAGACUAUGAAAUUUUUAUUAAAAACUAGGAUUAGAUACCCUAUUAUUGAAAAUGUAAAUUGGAAUGCUGAGUGAGUAAAAGUUUAUGUUCUCGAAAAUUAAAAAAAUUGGCGGUACUUUAGUCUGUUUAGAGGAACUUGUCCUGUGAUCGAUAGCCCACGUUUUUAUCUACUUAUCUUAAAUAGUUUAUAUGUCGCCGUAGAUUGAAUGUUUUUAAAGAAGAAAAAUAUUCAAAAUGUUUAUUUUAAAAUAAAGACAGGUCAAGAUAUAGCUUAUAGAUAAGAAGAGAUGAGUUACAAUAAAUAUAUUUAUUACGGAUAAUUUUUUUUUGUAAGAGAAUUUUGAAGGUGGAUUUAACAGUAAUUUUAUAUAAAUAUGUAAGAUGAUUUUAGCUCUAAAGUAUGCACAUAUCGCCCGUCACUUCCAUUUCAAGGUGGAAUAAGUCGUAACAUAGUAAAGGUACCGGAAGGUGUCUUUAGAAAC
RNAcentral lists this non-coding RNA (789 nucleotides) under Alcidodes juglans. The record is from RNAcentral. Lineage: Eukaryota; Metazoa; Arthropoda; Insecta; Coleoptera; Curculionidae.